UCUUUUUUUGACUGCUUCAUUUCCAAACCCUAAUACACGCUCCAUCUCUCCAUCUCUCCGCCUCUCCUCUUUGCCGAUUCUCUCAGAUCAAAUCAGAUCAUUGGAUUCUUCGCCGCUCGAAACCCUGGUGCAUUUCUAUUCUUCUUUCUCACGCUUUGACAUUCUCCACAACCGUAGAAACCAAAGUUGUUCAUCCUGUUCUUCGUUCAAUAAUCCUUCAUCAGUCGUAUCUCCCCAUUAAAAGGGGCUCGCACAUGUUCUGCAGUACCCCCUGUGAAUACUCCGCCAGGGAUAGCCGAGCCACUUCCCUUUCUUUAUGAUGCUCUUGCCCUUCACCUGCUUCUCGAUUUCUCAUCCAAAACAUUUGAUUCCUUUCAAAAGGAUGUCCCUUGCAAGCGAUUUCCACAGGUAUGUUUAUCUACGCUUUUGAUUUUGAUUAUCUCUUAAUAAUUUGUAAAUACCAGAUUAUUUUUAUUGUUGUUUGUCCAUAGAAGUCUAACUAUGUUCUGGAUUGCUUUUCACCUUCUUCUCGAAUUCUAAUAAAAAUCGAUUGAAUUUCAAAACCACCCCUGUUGCAAUCGAUUUCCUCAGGUAUGUUAAUUUCGUUUUUGAUUUUUUUAUCAAUUAAUUAUGUGGAAUACCAAUGAUUUUGAUUUUGUUUAUCGCUUAUUUUCAUGAUUUAAGGUUUUUAAUCAUAUUGGGUAUUAAAGUUAUUGUGUACAUACUUGAGAUUUUGAUUUUUACAUGGCUACCUCUGUUUAGAUUAAAAAUCGAUAAAAAUUGUUGAAGAAGAUAGCACUUUAAUAAUGGCUUCCGUUAAUUUAAGUAUUAUUUGUUUUUUUACUAAUGAGAUUAGUCACCUUUACUAAGAAGGGUAUGAAGAUUGGUAUAACAAUCGCAUUAUAGAUGACGAGUGUUGUAAUCUACUUUGGAGUUUAUCUCUAACCUACUUUAGAGUUGAGUUUAUCAAUAAUUAUAUAUCUAAUUUAUGUUAUUCUUACUUUUGAUGCGUUAUUUUUGCUUUAUGUUAUUUCAAAUUGGAUAAUAGUUGAAGCAUAUGCAUUCUUUGCAUUCGAAUGUAUAUUUUUUUUGUUUGAUUCAAACAUAAGUAUCUUAAGAGAUUAAGAGAUUGUUUUGAUGUGUUAUUCAUAUGAACUUUGUCAAUUUCAUUGAUGUUUCGGUUUAGGUAAAUGCACGAAACUAAGUAUUUUUUUUUUUUCAAUUGGGGUUUUGCUUUGCAAGUUAGGGUUCAUCGUAUUUAAGGUAUUUAAGAAUGAGCUCUGAAUAAACCAAGUUUUUUUGUGCAAUAACUCAUAAUCAAAACAUCAGGUAACAAAAAAAAAUAAUAAACAAUAUAUAACAAAAAACUUAGAAAGCCUCAAACCAUAAUAGAAGCUGGAAUAGCUUAGUUGGUUAGACCAAAUUUCGGGGAUUUAGACGUGUUUUGGUUCCAGGUCAAUUUUGGAUGUUUUAAACCGCGGUUAGCUGGUUAGACCUAUAUUAUCACUCUUCUUUUUCCUUGCUAACUCAUGAAUAGGCUACAUGAAUGAUGAAACUCACUUUUUUGAUUUUGAGAUUUAUUACAGCCUUCCGUUUUAAAACAAAUCUUACUUUUCAAGAUCUAAUUUUGUUAUAUAUGUAGCGUGCAACUAUCUACAUUGUUGCUGGAUCAUUAGUGGCCUGGUCUUAACUCUUAGCAGUCUUACAAAGGUAAUUAACACAUUCUAGCUCGAACUUGCAGUCUUACGUUUCAGAAAACAUCUAAAACAUAUGCAAGUGUUUAUGCCUCAGAUACUAGAGUAAAUUCUUUAUGUAAAUGAGACUUUAAAAGCCUUUAUGUAUUUUUGUCUCUCAAAGCAAUGAUUUACAUGUAGCUGGUACUAUCAAUGUAAGUUUUUUAUGAUUUGUAGAAACUUGAUUUACCAUCAUUUAUUCAUCUUUUAGGGUUUUAAAAAAAUGUGUUGGUUCAUUUGUUUAGAUUUGUUCAUCGCUUAGGGUUUUAAAAACAUUAUUUGUGUUUUAGAUUUAUAAGAACUUCAUGUUUUCCGAUUAUAUGUCGUGAACUUGCGAUUCAUGUUUCAAUUAUGUGAGAUGAACACCAAAGACGGUGCCGGAAUACUCGUUGUUUCGAUUUGGUGAGUUUUUUUCCUAUUCGAUGAGUUAGGUUUCGGGAGUACAUUGAUUAGGUUACUUUUAACUGUUUUUGUUACGAAUUUUUAUGAAUUGAUGUUUUUGAUUGGUUAAUUAAAGGUGUCCAGUUUGUUUGGAGACAAUGCAAUCAGGCGUCAUCAAGCAAUAGCCGUAAAGGUUUCUCAAAUCUACAUAUGCCGGUCAAUACCACGUGUUCCCUUAUAGGUUUCCCAUCUUUUCACGCGUCUUCAUCUGCCCACCAUAUGUAUUGCCGCACACAUUACCGCAUCUUUCCCGACGAAGAUAUUUUAAUCUACCUACACAAAAGGUGGCAGCAAUGAAGGGAAUCCAUUGAUGAAGGAAGCUGCGGUGAUUGACCAGCAUAUGUAGUUUGAGAAACCUUAGAAUGUGAUAUUACUCUUUCAAGUCUUGCAAGCUAUAAGAAGGCUGAAGGAAAUUCCAAUGGUAGAAAGGAAAUGAUAUGCUGAUUACACGGAUCAUCAUUAUCUAGCCUGCUGGAGGACGCCGAUGACCACCGAUUUUGGCAGAGAGAUGAAGGAAUUAUGCUUCAUAUGACACAUAUUGCUUUAGCGAUUCAAUCUCAUAACAGGUAUAUCUGUGUGUUAUAAAGCAUUCUGGCGAAAGUGAUUUGGUGGAACGUUUAAUUGAGGAUCAAACUCCGCAUUAAAAUUGUUUUUGAAACUUGGCGGAGAUGAUUAAAAUUGGGCGAAGACAAGUCGGGUAAAUGUUGGAAGAUUUGGAGAGGUGGAGUGACUUUUAUGCAAUUAAAGAGACAUACAGUAUAGAAAACGAGCAUUUGAACUCUGGUAUAGAGAUAGACAAGAACGUUCUAGCAAAUCGGAUCUGGUUGAGAUCCAUGUGGGACCUGCUACAGAUCUUGAUCAUGAAUAUUUCAAUCAUAAGAAGAUGUAGGGUGAUGGUUAAUCUUUGGGUACAUGCUGAACGCAAUGAAAUUUCAAGCAAUCGCUUCACGGUAUCACCAUAUUUCCUAUUAAUUAUAUUGAUUCAUGACUUUUAAUUGUUUAACUCAAUUGAUUAUAUUGAUUUAAGGAUCCGGAAAACAAUGAAUAUUAAUUCCCAUAAUGCAAGGGUUAGUUUUCAUUUGACAAAUCGGUUGUAGACGAAAUUCAAUCUAAAGUUAGCAGUUGUACAGAAAGCAAUGACCAGAGUACACUUCCUGACAAAAUAGACGUCGUCUGUACGGACGUUGAAGGCAUUUUCUAUCCAAAUCUUCACUGAUUCAGUGUAAGUGUGGUUCAUGUGGGACCAGGAAGCAAACUCCAUCCGAAUGGGAACGACAUACUGGUUCCAGAGCAAAAAAAGUGGAAAGUCAGCAUUAAAGUCAAAGAUUCGAUGUUACCGCCAGAAAAAUACGUUUGUUUUUCAUCUCAUCUACUUUGAUUAAACUUGCAUAUUAUAAAAUUGGUUAUUACGCUAAGGCUCUUUUCGAAUCAACUAGAUGAACAACAACUGUUUUCGUUUAUUCAAGAGAAGUAUGAAUCUGUUUAUGCAAAGUGGACAACCGAACGAUGUGCAAUUUGUAGAUGGGAUGAAGAUUAUGAUGAUAACAAAAUCAUUAUCUACAACAGAUGUCAAAUCCAUGUUCAUCAAGAAUGCUAUGGAGUUAGAGAUAUGAAUGAUUUCACAUCUUGGGUUUGUCAGGCGUGUGAAACACCCGAGGUUGAGCGAUAAUGUUGCCUUUGCCCUGUAAAAGGUGGUGCAUUGAAGCCGACUAAUAUUGAUACAUUGUGGGUCCAUGUAAUAUGAGCGUGGUUUCGACCGGAGGUUGCUUUUCUAAGCGGUGAAAAGAUGGAACCUGCAGUUGGGCUUUUACGGAUUCCACCCGAUUCAUUUGUUAAGGCAAUAUAAGAGGCGUACAGUAUAGAAAACGAGCAUUUGAAUUCUGGAUAUAGAGAUAGACAAGAACGUUCUAGCGAAUCGGAUCUGGUUGAGAUCCAUGUGGGACCUGCUACAGAUCUUGAUCAUGAAUAUUUCAAUCAUAAGAAGAUGUAAUGUGAUGGUUGUAAUCUUUGGGUACAUGUUUAAUACAAUGAAAUUUCAAGCAAUCACUUCACGGAUCCGGAAAACAAUGAAUAUUACUUCCCAGAAUGCAAGGGUCAGUUUUCAUUUGACCAAUCGGUUGUAGACGAAAGUCAAUCUAAAGUCAGCAGUUGUACAGAAAGCAAUGACCAGAUUACACUUCCUGACAAAAUAGUUGUCGUCUGUACGGACGUUGAAAGCAUUUACUAUCCAAAUCUUCAUCUGAUUCAGUGUAAGUGUGGUUCAUGUGGGACCAGGAAGCAAACUCCAUCCAAAUGGGAACGGCAUACUGGUUCCAGAGCAAAUGAAAACUGUUGAAGAAGAUAGCACUUUAAUAAUGGCUUCCGUUAAUUUAAGUAUUAUUUGUUUUUUUACUAAUGAGAUUAGUCACCUUUACUAAGAAGGGUAUGAAGAUUGGUAUAACAAUCGCAUUAUAGAUGACGAGUGUUGUAAUCUACUUUGGAGUUUAUCUCUAACCUACUUUAGAGUUGAGUUUAUCAAUAAUUAUAUAUCUAAUUUAUGUUAUUCUUACUUUUGAUGCGUUAUUUUUGCUUUAUGUUAUUUCAAAUUGGAUAAUAGUUGAAGCAUAUGCAUUCUUUGCAUUCGAAUGUAUAUUUUUUUUGUUUGAUUCAAACAUAAGUAUCUUAAGAGAUUAAGAGAUUGUUUUGAUGUGUUAUUCCUAUGAACUUUGUCAAUUUCAUUGAUGUUUCGGUUUAGGUAAAUGCACAAAACUAAGUAUUUUUUUUUUCAAUUGGGGUUUUGCUUUGCAAGUUAGGGUUCAUCGUAUUUAAGGUAUUUAAGGAUGAGCUCUGAAUAAACCAAGUUUUUUUGUGCAAUAACUCAUAAUCAAAACAUCAGGUAACAAAAAAAAUAAUAAACAAUAUAUAACAAAAAACUUAGAAAGCCUCAAACCAUAAUAGAAGCUGGAAUAGCUUAGUUGGUUAGACCAAAUUUCGGGGAUUUAGACGUGUUUUGGUUCCAGGUCAAUUUUGGAUGUUUUAGACCGCGGUUAGCUGGUUAGACCUAUAUUAUCACUCUUCUUUUUCCUUGCUAACUCAUGAAUAGGCUACAUGAAUGAUGAAACUCACUUUUUUGAUUUUGAGAUUUAUUACAGCCUUCCGUUUUAAAACAAAUCUUACUUUUCAAGAUCUAAUUUUGUUAUAUAUGUAGCGUGCAACUAUCUACAUUGUUGCUGGAUCAUUAGUGGCCUGGUCUUAACUCUUAGCAGUCUUACAAAGGUAAUUAACACAUUCUAGCUCGAACUUGCAGUCUUACGUUUCAGAAAACAUCUAAAACAUAUGCAAGUGUUUAUGCCUCAGAUACUAGAGUAAAUUCUUUAUGUAAAUGAGACUUUAAAAGCCUUUAUGUAUUUUUGUCUCUCAAAGUAAUGAUUUACAUGUAGCUGGUACUAUCAAUGUAAGUUUUUUAUGAUUUGUAAAAACUUGAUUUACCAUCAUUUAUUCAUCUUUUAGGGUUUUAAAAAAAUGUGUUGGUUCAUUUGUUUAGAUUUGUUCAUCGCUUAGGGUUUUAAAAACGUUAUUUGUGUUUUACAUUUAUAAGAACUUCAUGUUUUCCGAUUAUAUGUCGUGAACUUGCGAUUCAUGUUUCAAUUAUGUGAGAUGAACACCAAAGACGGUGCCGGAAUACUCGUUGUUUCGAUUUGGUGAGUUUUUUUCCUAUUCGAUGAGUUAGGUUUCGGGAGUACAUUGAUUAGGUUACUUUUAACUGUUUUUGUUACGAAUUUUUAUGAAUUGAUGUUUUUGAUUGGUUAAUUAAAGGUGUCCAGUUGAAAUGAGCGUUUGUUUGGAGACAAUGCAAUCAGGCGUCAUCAAGCAAUAGCCGUAAAGAAAGGAAAUGAUAUGCUGAUUACACGGAUCAUCAUUAUCUAGCCUGCUGGAGGACGCCGAUGACCACCGAUUUUGGCAGAGAGAUGAAGGAAUUAUGCUUCAUAUGACACAUAUUGCUUUAGCGAUUCAAUCUCAUAACUUGUCUAAUUCAUUUUUUUCAUCCAUCCUACUUUGAAACAGCUGGUUCAUCUUAUUAUUUUUUUAAAUCGGGGAUUCAAUCUUAUUAGGGUUAUUCAAUCUGGUGAGUUUAACUUAAAAUUACCUGUUUCUUUUUAAAC
Helianthus annuus (common sunflower) is the source of this 6316-nucleotide long non-coding RNA. RefSeq lists it as uncharacterized. The record is from RefSeq and is a predicted model, not a curated record. NCBI's taxonomy places the organism in Eukaryota, Viridiplantae, Streptophyta, Magnoliopsida, Asterales, Asteraceae. The transcript is spliced from 16 exons.